GAGUUUGAUCCUGGCUCAGGAUGAACGCUAGCGGCAGGCUUAACACAUGCAAGUCGAGGGGUAUAGGUUUUCGGACCUAGAGACCGGCGCACGGGUGCGUAACGCGUAUGUAAUCUACCUUUUACAGAGGGAUAGCCCAGAGAAAUUUGGAUUAAUACCUCAUAGUAUAAUGACUCGGCAUCGAGAUAUUAUUAAAGUUCCAACGGUAAAGAUGAGCAUGCGUCCCAUUAGCUAGAUGGUAAGGUAACGGCUUACCAUGGCGACGAUGGGUAGGGGUCCUGAGAGGGAGAUCCCCCACACUGGUACUGAGACACGGACCAGACUCCUACGGGAGGCAGCAGUGAGGAAUAUUGGUCAAUGGGCGCAAGCCUGAACCAGCCAUGCCGCGUGCAGGAUGACGGUCCUAUGGAUUGUAAACUGCUUUUGUACGGGAAGAACACUCCUACGUGUAGGAGCUUGACGGUACCGUAAGAAUAAGGAUCGGCUAACUCCGUGCCAGCCGCCGCUGU
Molecule: ribosomal RNA, 509 nt
Filed under: uncultured Flavobacterium sp.
Lineage: Bacteria; Pseudomonadati; Bacteroidota; Flavobacteriia; Flavobacteriales; Flavobacteriaceae
Description: bacterial SSU rRNA
Rfam family: Bacterial small subunit ribosomal RNA
Source: RNAcentral